Molecule: long non-coding RNA, 151 nt
Organism: Oncorhynchus keta (chum salmon)
Lineage: Eukaryota; Metazoa; Chordata; Actinopteri; Salmoniformes; Salmonidae
Exons: 3
Source: RefSeq, a predicted model, not a curated record
ACCAGGUCUUCAUAGUCAUCACCAGGUCUUCAUAGUCAUCACCAGGUCUUCAUAGUCAUCACCUAUACCAGGUCUUCCUAGUCAUCACCUAUACCAGGUCUUCAUAGUCAUCACCUAUACCAGGUCUUCCUAGUCAUCACCAGGUCUUCAU